RNAcentral lists this small nucleolar RNA (108 nucleotides) under Botryobasidium botryosum FD-172 SS1. The record is from RNAcentral. Lineage: Eukaryota; Fungi; Basidiomycota; Agaricomycetes; Cantharellales; Botryobasidiaceae.
CUGGGAUGAACCUUUUAGAUGACGAGUCUGAACACUCUGCCGCGAGGCUUCCUCUACGCGAGCACAUGACGAGUCUUUCUUUAAUAUACCAUUCAUGCAUUUCUGAUC